UAUUGGGAACUGCUGGGCGGGGUGGGGGCGGGCGGGGUGGUCGCUGGAGACGUUUGUGGCCGGUUUCUUUGGGUUCUGUUUUGCGAUGUCUCUCAAUCCUGAUUCCUCCAGGUAGCCAGUUCGCCAAUUUCGGAAACGCACCUAUGUUCCAGCACUUUGUUUAUGCCCCAUCUCUAACGAGUAUCUCUUCCUCAAGAUCACAGAACUUCUGGAAGGGUCUGCAGGGAUGCAGCUUGGAGAAGGCUAUGACUUCCUGUCCUGUCAGAAUGGGACAAAAGAGAGGCCAGGAAUGGCAAUGACUUGCCAUAGAAUCAGAACUGUGAAUGCUGACAGCCACUGGAAAAAGACAUGAUGUGAACAAUGAAUACAGAAUGUAACUCCUGCUCCAAAGGAACUAAGAGAGAAUUUAUUCUGAGACAGAUACAAAUGAUCACAGCCUGAGCAUGGAUUCAGAUUGCCAUAAUAGGCAUAUUCAUUCUACCAUGGGAGAGGUUUCAUGAACUUAUAUAGCCACAGAACAAAGGAAAACCAUAAACUGGUGAAUUUAUUCAUAUAUCAAUAGAAACAUCAGAUAGACAGGUUACAUCAAAGCCAGAAAAUCUAUAGGUUUCAGAUACUGAUAUGUUUUUAGCUAUGAAAUUAGUGGAAGUUAUUUAUCUGCUAGGUUUGUAAUAUACCAAAAGGGUUACCCUAAUAGUUGAAGAAGUUAGGUUAUAUCCGAAGCUGGUAACUAAUAGCUACUAAAGGAGCUAAAGCCAGGUGUGGCUUAUGCCCGUAAUCCCACCACUUGGGACAGUACAGCCAUAGGAUCAUGAGUUCUUGAGUUCCCACUCAGUCCAGGUUACUACUGAGUGAAAGCCUGAUUCAAAAGAGAGAAGGGGCGAAAAUAAUAUAAUUUUUACCCCCAAUCUGCAGUGUUCCAUCUUUCUUUAGUCACAGUGUUUUAAUCAGGCAAUCAGUCUGCAGGAUCUUCAACACAGAUACGACUUUUUUUCAGGGAACCUCACAUCACAGAACUGUAGAUUUCACUAGAAUGUACCAAUUAUCUCCAGAAAGAAAUAGAAACAAUAACAUGGAUUUUGCCUGUGUCUUAAUAUCUGUGACAAUAGAUAUGUAGGUAUGAGUGAAAAAACAGACCUUAACUUUGUUGAAGAGGAAGAAACUCAGAAGCCUAGUUUUUAGGGGCACCAUCCUCACUGAUAGUGAAGUCUGAGAAGAAAAAUGUUGAGAAUCUGUUAGGAGAUAAGCACACUAGAGACAAACAUACAGACACUCUUAGAGCCAAAACCAAAGUUUUUAUUGUUGCCCAGUGGCUUCAUGGAGAACUUUCUCAAAUCAUGUAGCUUUGACCCUUACAGUUCUUUGUCCUUUAUGUACAAAAAAAAAAAUAUAUUGGUUGGCACAUUUCAGUUAUCAAGGAGCAGAGCUACAGAAACCAAAAAGCAAGAUUAGCAUAUUUAGAGGGGACUUUCCUAGAACUAUGGACUAUGUCUUUGUUUCCAUUUUGGCAGGUGUUUGGGGCCUAUAUGCUGGGUUUUAAGGGCAGAAUGGUGUCUCUAACAUGGCAUUAGUCAGUGAUAAAGUCUGGGGGCAUAUUAAAAGCCAGGUGCUAAAAAUCCUUAAGGGACCCUAUGACAUGGUCAAGGGAAAUAUAAAGAAGCAUGUGAAAUAAAUACAUAAAAAAGAA
Molecule: long non-coding RNA, 1687 nt
Organism: Mesocricetus auratus (golden hamster)
Lineage: Eukaryota; Metazoa; Chordata; Mammalia; Rodentia; Cricetidae
Exons: 2
Source: RefSeq, a predicted model, not a curated record